This 107-nucleotide small nuclear RNA is filed under the name Cervus elaphus hippelaphus. The record is from RNAcentral. Lineage: Eukaryota; Metazoa; Chordata; Mammalia; Artiodactyla; Cervidae. RNAcentral also lists the same sequence under 1 other name.
GUGCUCGCUUUGGCAGCAAAUAUACUAAAAUUGGAACGAUACAGAGAAGAUUAGCAUUGCCCCUGCACAAGGAUGACACGCAAAUUCGUGAAGCAUUCCAUAUUUUU